RNAcentral lists this long non-coding RNA (214 nucleotides) under Sorghum bicolor (sorghum). Its description in RNAcentral is "long non-coding RNA (SBIC_LNC011887)". The record is from RNAcentral. Lineage: Eukaryota; Viridiplantae; Streptophyta; Magnoliopsida; Poales; Poaceae.
UGGGCACGUGUCCAUGUUUGGUAGAGUACAGGCCGGCAGGAUAAGAUGGCGGUGAGGAUGGUUGCUGAUGAAGGAGGAAUUGGACGGGACUAAGUCCAUAGGAGAUGAUGUGUCUGUGCCGAUGGCUAUGGCAAGAGAGUCUGCCGAUGACCAUGACAUGGGAGUCUGCCGAUGAUACGGAAGGAGAGUUUGGAAGUUGCCGAUCGGUUUGUGG